UACCAGGGCAAAACUUGUGCAUGUAAAUGUAGUUAGUGUGAACACUUAUGUGUGCAAGAGGAGUGUUGUUUGUAGUUGGUGAGAGAGAAAAAUGUGCAUGUGAGUGUUUAUACCCACCACAUAAGAGAGAACAUCACCUGUGACUGGUUACUGAAAAAGAAAAGGAUUCAAACUUGAUGAAUAUACUUUCUUUCACAAACUACAUGUGUGUGUCUGAGUGGAGUCCAGCCAAGCUGUAGGAGAGCGAGAGAGUACCUUAAAAGCACAUGCAUUACCUUCUCUUUUAUUCUAGCUGUUUUUCAUGCUGUCAUUUUCUAGGCUCACACCAUAUCUGAAAAAGAGAAGGAAAGAAGAGAGAUCGAAAGGUACAGGGGAGGAAUUUGCUUGUGUGUGUUCGUGUCUGUGGUCUCCGUACCCCCUGCUGGCGGAACAGAACAUGGACAUGAAAAGAGCCACCAAUGGUCCCAUAUGGCCGUAAGUCUAAUAGUGGUGGUGAGCCAGUUUUUAAAUAAUGUUAUUGUUUUAUUAAAAGUGUUAAUAAUACAGUAUUGUGUCCAAUUGUACAACAUCUGUCUGUCCUUAUGAAGACAAUUAGAACUACUGGACAACUAAUUCAAGACCUUUUUUUGUGAUUUCUCAUUGAGGAAGUCGAAGACAAGAGGAGGCUACUCUCAGUUUAUGGAGAUACUGAUGUUGAGGUCAGUCGGAGGCCACAGAGAGCACACAACACAGUAUCGGGGCUAAAGUGGUGGUCGCAAGGGUAACAUAUCAAAUAUCCAUCAGAGUUCAUCUGACACUGUUCUUUUCCUUUCCUCUUCCUUCCUUCCUUCCUUCCCCCAAUAACACCCGAUCUCAUCAUGCUAUUCUUCCUUGUCCUUCUCUUCCCAUUCUAACAAAGAGUGAACACUGCAGCUUGGAGAAGCUGGUAUCAGAUGCUUUGAUAGGGAUGCCUUCUCUAGAUGAAUUACUCCAGAAAGUCAUUCUCUGGAGAGUUCAUGUCUGUAAUGAAAUUACAUUAGUCAAACAAACUUCUAUGUUAAUGCACUGUCUUAAUAUCAACAGACCAAUUAGUUCAAAUCAGCCUCUUUUAAUGGACAUGAAGCAUUAAGUUGUUUAUACAGUCAAAUAAUAAUAAUAAUAAUAAUAUGAAUUCCUGUUUCCCUAUGCUUACAAGAGCCCCUUUUAAGCUGCAUCAAUCAUAUUCUUUGUGUUUCAUCUGACUUCUGAAAGCAGCAUUCAGGCAUGUGAACUGGAUAAGACAUACUGUAGUGAGCCAUGAGAUCAAUAGAUUUCAAUCUAUGGAUGUUUCAGAAGUUUCCAAGUGAAGAGUUGGUUGUCUGAAAGUGCUGCCCGCUUCACUGAUGCUCAUCAAAGCUGAUGUAACCUUUAGGGAGCACACCAAUUCCACUCAACCAUUACGCUCUGGUGGAUGCAAAUGCUCUGGAAAUCCUCUGUUUGUGUGUUUGAGAGCGUGUGUUCUGGCCUCCUGUCUGAUGUCUGAACUACCAUAUUUAUCCAGAUUAUAUAGAAAUGUUUCUCUUUUUUUCAUUCUCUCGGUCCUUCAGGUUUAUCUUGCAAUCUCACAGAGCUGCACAAAAAUCACAGAAAAUGGAAGAAUAUAAGUGCAUGCUAUAGAAAUAUUCUGAAUGAAAAACUAUUUUUGUAAAUGAAUGUGAAAUGCAUAACAUUGAUCAAAAGUCACAGUAAAGACUUUUACUUAAACUUUUACAAAAAUUCUACUUCAAAUAAUAAAAUGUUGUAUUUUGAUUUUUUUUAUUCAUCAAAGAAUCCUGGGGUGAAAAAAUCAGCAUAUUAAAAUGAUUUCUGAAUUUUCAUCCGAC
Megalobrama amblycephala (Wuchang bream) is the source of this 1841-nucleotide long non-coding RNA. RefSeq lists it as uncharacterized. The transcript is spliced from 3 exons. The record is from RefSeq and is a predicted model, not a curated record. Lineage: Eukaryota; Metazoa; Chordata; Actinopteri; Cypriniformes; Xenocyprididae.